CCUGUACGGAACAGGAGGUUAAAGGUGCUGAUUCUCCAAGGAGGGAGAUUGCUAGUAAAGCGGCUGGAAUGGCGAACCCGAGCACAAGGAGAUGAGAAAUGAGGACAAAUUGCAACCUGUACGGAACAGGAGGGUAAAGGUGCUGAUUCUCCAAGGAGGGAGAUUGCUAGUAAAGCGGCUGGAAUGGCGACCCCGAGCACAAGGAGAUGAGAAAUGAGGACAAAUUGCAACCUGUACGGAACAGGAGGUUAAAGGUGCUGAUUCUCCAAGGAGGGAGAUUGCUAGUAAAGCGGCUGGAAUGGCGACCCCGAGCACAAGGAGAUGAGAAAUGAGGACAAAUUGCAACCUGUACGGAACAGGAGGGUAAAGGUGCUGAUUCUCCAAGGAGGGAGAUUGCUAGUAAAGCGGCUGGAAUGGCGACCCCGAGCACAAGGAGAUGAGAAAUGAGGACAAAUUGCCACCUGUACGGAACAGGAGGUUAAAGGUGCUGAUUCUCCAAGGAGGGAGAUUGCUAGUAAAGCGGCUGGAAUGGCGAACCCGAGCACAAGGAGAUGAGAAAUGAG
Molecule: long non-coding RNA, 563 nt
Organism: Balaenoptera acutorostrata (minke whale)
Lineage: Eukaryota; Metazoa; Chordata; Mammalia; Artiodactyla; Balaenopteridae
Exons: 5
Source: RefSeq, a predicted model, not a curated record